GGUUCGUGGCCCUUGUGGCUGGUGGGCAAGAUGGCACCUGGGCUGGUGCCUUGCCACCAACACGCCUUUGGGUGUUUGGGGAGACUGCUCUCUGCAACCUUGUGGCUCCUUCCUACACAACAUGCAAAGCCACUCACUUCCCCCCUUAUUUGACCUGAGGCAGAGGGAGUGAGUGCGCUGUCUAAGGCAGGCAUUCUCAGAAAAUGGUCUUGGGAGUGGAGAGUGGAAAAAAAAUCUGAGUAUAUUAGAUAUAAAACAUGAAAUAAUACAGUAGAGAAACACAUACAGGGAUAUCCACGGUUUUAGAAUUUCAUGGGGUGUUGAUGCGCAAAAAAGUUGCAAAAAUCUGCUUGGAGGGUGGUCAUGAAAAACAGAAGGUUCUUGGCAUGCGUGAUCCUGUGGUGGAUAGGGUAAGGCUUGAUGGCACCGAAAGUGAGGAGCAGUGAGCCUGCCACCUGCUUGUCGCAGUCGGACUAAUGGAGACACCAGAGAAAAAAUAUGCCUGGGUAAAAAUAGAGCCAGGGAAUUGGGCAAUUCUGAGCCUGGUGAGCCACGCAGAGAAAGGGGCUCUUUCUCUAACUUCACCUCUAGCUUAAAGACCAUUUCUUUUUUCUUUUUCUUUUUUUUUAAGGCUGUAUCUGCAGCAUGUGGAAGUUCCCAGGCGAGGGGAUGAAUUGCAGCUACAGUUGCCAGCUGACGUAUGCCACAACCACAGCAACACAGGAUCCGAGCCACAUCUGCGACCUACACCAUAGCUCAUAGCAACUACAGAUCCUUAACCCACUGAGCAAGGCCAGGCAUCAAACCUGCAUCUUCAUGGAUACCAGUCAGGUUCAUUACCACUGACCUCCUUAAAGACCUUUUCUUGAGCCUUUAAGACAUCUUGACCAUAUCCUAUUGCUGUCCAGGCAUUUCCAGUUAUGAGCAUAAGUUUCCUUUUUGUGGGAAAGUCUCGUUUUUCUGGUGAGAAAUGGUCCCCUGAAUUUCAAGUUUGGGUCCAACCCUAUGAGUCUCUUCUGAGCCCAGCCUGUGGCUGAGGGUCGUACAGAAGGGAAGAGUAUAGGGUUUGACUCUUUCCUCUGCCGCCUCCUUUUCCCACUCCGCCUCUUACAGGGGUGGAGCAGCUGAAAAAGAAUGUUUUUAAAGAGGGGAGAUGAUUUCUGGAGCUGAUCUUGCCAUGUUAGGGUUCUCUUUGCUUGUGUUGGCUGGUGAUCAGCGCCAGUUUGGAGGCAGGUGUUUGAGUGCAGGAUGCAGGUCUUCUUAUGAAUUGACAAUGCUUGUUCUUGGGGAGGCCUGGGGGUGUCCUCCCAGGGCACAGCCGCCCUUGGUAGCAACGAGCCUUCCAGCUCUCAGAGAUUCCUCUGCGUGUGACCCACCCAGACAUCCACAUGGGAGUUCGCUCAGUCACAUUAACUUAAAGGUAGGAAAGUGCCAGGUAGCCUGCAUCGUCCAUGUAGCCUAAGGAAGAGCACGUUCUUGUCCCACCAACCUGAGGGAUGCUGGCUGCCCCACCCUGCACUCUCUGCUUGCCCUCGGCCCUCCCAGAUCCUCUGGACCUUGGGACUUCACCAGAUCAGCACCACACCCCGUGUCCACAUAGACCUUUAGACACUCAGGGUUGUAGACAAGGCUCCCAAGAACCUCUAACACACGUGACCAUGAUCAAGUGGCAGGAAAAGAAGUCAGGUUCUGCAGAUGGUAAGCAUUUGGUCUAGAGGAUGCCUGUCUGUCAUCCAUCAGUCCCUGGGAAUGGCUUUUUGGGACCCCACCUCCCCCUGACAUAGCAUGAAACACCAGCCACCUGGCCCCCUCCCCAACCCGACACAGGAGGCCAUUAGGGUGAUACCCCAUUAGAAACACAACUUUGCUUGAAUUUCCAUCUUUUUUAUGGGCCACAAGGGAUGUGGCUGGGAGGUUGUCUCAGGGUCUGUCCUCAUUAUAACUCAUGAAAGGAUGAGUCCAGAAAUCCUUCUUAUGAAUGUGGAGGUCCUUAGCACCCAUGGCUCACAGCCCUGCUCAGCUUCCUGGUGCAGUGGCAUUCGCGUUGCCAAGCACGGUUUGUCACUUCAUGGUUUGGAUAAUGGCAUUUAACGCUACAUGACAUGAAAUGUUCGUUAUGAGGGGGAAAAAACCCCACCAUUUUGAUUUAUAAAAACUUUGAUUUGCUCUUAUUUCAUUAUGUAGGCCAACUGCCUUCACUAUGAAUUUUCAAAUCCGGUUUUUAAAAACCAUCAUUUUGUUACCUGGAACACAAGGUUCCAGAGGCCAAUAAAUUCUGCAUUAGUAUAAUAAAACUGUUCAACUCUAGCCCAGCCAAGUGAGCUUCUUUUUAAAAUUGUUGACUCCGACACACAGGGUGAGUCUUUUUGAAUGAGAAUCAAAGGGCUCUGUCAUGCAGAAUAAGUCUGGGUUCCCUCCUCAAGGAGCCGUGCCCGCCUCUAGCGGGCGUGAAGGAGGUCGGAAGGUUUGGCUUCUCGGACCUCAGAGCUCUGCUUCCAUACACGGUUCCUUCCAGCCAGCACGUCCUUAAGCAUCUCUCAGCCGAUGCUAAGGUCUCUUUGGAUCUGUCCGCCUCUGGCAGUGCCCAGCAUAAGACUCCUGCACUUUACUUUUUUUAAAGUAUAGUUGAUUUACAGGGUGCCAACUUGUGCUAUACAGCAAAGUCACUCCGUCGUAAUAUAUAUACAUUCUUUUUAAAAUGUUAUUAUCCAUCAUGGUCUACCCAGGAGAUUGGAUGCCUGUGCUGUACUGUAGGACCUUAUUGUCGAUCCAUUCUAUGCAUAAUAGUUUGUGCCUGCUAAUCCCCCGUUCCCAGUCCUCCCCUCCACCACCCCCACCCUUGGCAACCACAAGCCUGUUCUCUGUGUCUGUGAGUCUGUUUCUGUUUCGUAGAUAGAGUCAUUUGUGCCAUAGCUGAGAUUCCACAUACAGGUGAUAGCAUAUGGUAUUUGUCUCUCUUGUUCUGACUUACUUCACUUAGUAUGAGAAUCUCUAGUUGCAUUCAUGUUGCUGCACAUGGCAUGAUUUUGUUCUCUUUUAUGGCUGAGCAUGUUCCAUUUGUAUAUAUGUACUAUAUCAUCUCAAUCCUUUCCUCUGUUGAUGGACAUUUAGGUUGCUUCCAUGUCUCGGCUAUUGUGCAUAGCACUGCAAUGAACAGAGGGGUGCAUAUAUCUUUUGGACGUAUAGCUUUUUUCCAGAUACAUGCUCAGGAGUGGGACUGCUGGAUCAUAUAGUAGUUCUGCUUUUUAGUUUUUUAAGGACGCUUCAUGUUGUUGUCCAUUGUGGAAGCACCAAUUUACAUUCCCACCAACAGUGUAGGAGAGUUCCCUUUUCUCCACACCCUCUCCAGCAUUUGUUAUUUGCAGACUUGUUAAUGGUGGCCAGUAUGAGUGGUACCUCAUUGUAGGUUUUUUUUUGUCUUUUUUUUCUUUUUUCUGGGGCCGCUCCUGCAGCAUAUGGAGGUUCCCAGGCUAGGGGUCUAAUUGGAGCUGUAGCCACCAGCCUACGCCAGAGCUAUAGCAAUGCAGCAUCCAAGCUGCCUCUGCGACCUACACCACAGCUCACUACAACGCUGGAUCCUUAACCCACUGAGCAAGGCCAGGGAUCGAACCUGCAACCUCAUGGUUCCUAGUUGGAUUCAUUAACCACUGAGCCACAAUGGGAACUCCCUCAUUGUAGUUUUGAUUUACAUUUCUGUCAUUAUUAGUGAUGUUGAGCAUCUUUUCAUGUGCCUCCUGGCCAUCCAUAGACAUAAGACCUGACACCAUGAAAUUCUAGGAGAGAAUAGAGGCAAAGCAUUCUCUGACAUCAACUGUACAAAUGUUUUUUCAGGUCAGUCUCCCAAGGCAAUAGAAAUAAAAAGAAAAGUAAACAAAUGGGACCUAAUCAAACUUACAAGCUUUUUGCACAUCCAAGGAAACAAUAAAAAAAAA
Molecule: long non-coding RNA, 3932 nt
Filed under: Sus scrofa (pig)
Lineage: Eukaryota; Metazoa; Chordata; Mammalia; Artiodactyla; Suidae
Description: lncRNA (ENSSSCG00015000078.1)
Source: RNAcentral